Molecule: ribosomal RNA, 479 nt
Filed under: uncultured bacterium
Lineage: Bacteria
Description: partial 16S ribosomal RNA
Rfam family: Bacterial small subunit ribosomal RNA
Source: RNAcentral
AACAAACGCUGGCGGCGUGCCUAAUACAUGCAAGUCAAACGGGGAAAGGCUUCGGCCAAGUACUAGUGGCGCACGGGUGAGGAAUACGUGGGUAAUCUGCCCUCAAGUGGGGAAUAACCAGUCGAAAGAUUGGCUAAUACCGCAUAAGACCUCAAGAUCUGCGGAUCAAGGGGUCAAAGGAGCAAUUCGCUUGAGGAUGAGUCCGCGUGAGAUUAGCUAGUUGGUGAGGUAAUGGCUCACCAAGGCAGUGAUCUCUAACUGGUCUGAGAGGAUGAUCAGUCACACUGGAACUGAGACACGGUCCAGACUCCUACGGGAGGCAGCAGUAGGGAAUAUUGCGCAAUGGGGGAAACCCUGACGCAGCGACGCCGCGUGAGUGAUGAAGGCCUUCGGGUCGUAAAGCUCUGUCGUAUGGGAAAAAGAUCUGAUUGUACCAUAUAAGAAGGGAUCGGCUAACUUCGUGCCAGCAGCCGCCGUAA